Molecule: ribosomal RNA, 641 nt
Filed under: Davusia glabra
Lineage: Eukaryota; Metazoa; Arthropoda; Malacostraca; Decapoda; Plagusiidae
Description: partial 16S ribosomal RNA
Rfam family: Bacterial large subunit ribosomal RNA
Source: RNAcentral
GUCUGUUUGCAUUUAUAAAGAGUUUGACCUGCUCACUGAUAAAAUUUUAAGAGCCGCGGUAUUUGGACCGUGCAAANGUAGCAUAAUCGUUAGUNCCUUAAUUAGGAUCUUGUAUGAAUGGUUGGACAAAGAAAAAACUGUCUCUAUAGUUUGUUAUUGAAUUUAACUUUUAAGUGAAAAGGCUUAAAUUAAUUAAAGGGACGAUAAGACCCUAUAAAGCUUAAUAUAAAAUUAUUACUUAGUUGAAUUAUAAAAUUGUAUAAUAACUUGGUGGUUAUGGUUUAUUUUAUUGGGGUGAUAAAAGUAAAAUUGUUAUUAACUACUUAAUUUUUUAAACAAAAAUAAAUGAAUAAAAUUAUAAAAUGAUCUUGAAUACAAAUUAAAAGUUUAAGUUACUUUAGGGAUAACAGCGUUAUUUUUUUUUAGAGUUCAUAUCGAAAAAAAAGUUUGCGACCUCGAUGUUGAAUUAAAAUUUCUAUAUAAUUGCAGCAGUUAUAUUAGAAGGUCUGUUCGACCUUUAAAUUUUUACAUGAUUUGAGUUCAGACCGGCGUAUGCCAGGUCGGUUUCUAUCUUUUAAAAAAAAAUAAUUGUUUUAKUACGACCGGAUUAAAUAAUUACCAUUAUUUUAUUGUUGGUUGAG